UUAUUUAGAUGGUGUUAUCCCCACUGGAAACCUUAUCUACCAUUGUCUUAUAUACUAAUAAUAUUUCACAUGUACCUGCCUGUCAUAAAGAAAAAAUGAUAAUAUUGUAUAAUAAAGAAGCUAAUUAGAAAGAAUUACGCUCUUCUAUGUUUUAUGUAUUUAUUUGAACUCUCUACAUUUUUUUAGUUUAAAACUUUUCAACUAACAGAUCUUAUGAAGCACGAUUCCCGUGACAUGUUUGAUGACGUACGAGUGGUUCUACAGUGCAGAAUUUCAAGAUAAACUAUAGGAAGAAAACAGUCAGUCAGUAGCACUCAAUACCACCUCUUGGACUACUAACUCUAGUUUGACCGAAUUGCCGAAUUUGAUCGUCAUUUUGAAGCGCAUCCAAGGUAGAAAAGUGCGAAACGCAUUUUUGGAGCAACGGGUCAGAUCCAUCAUUCUUCGGACUUACAGUCACGCACUCUAACAACUAGGACACGCCUGUUAAAAGUGAUUAGAAAAGCAUUUUGGAGGCUUAUUGAGAUAUUUGUAUACAUUAAACUGUCAUGCAGUCCUAGAACAUUUCAUCCUCAAAACUGCUCGAACUCCAGGACCUGUUGAUGAAAAUUCAUAUACCAACCCUUUCACCCGAUAUCUGGUAUUCGACUGAUCUCAUUUGUUAAGCCCAAAUCUUAAGGCGUAAACGUCUUGCUCAUUUGCGACUAAAUACAUUUGGUGUGUUAAACUGUAACUUGAAACAUGGUUUCAAUGUUAGUUAAUUAUCUAAUCAUUUUCACAGUUUGAUGCGUGCAAUUAGUUUACAAACAGUAUUGUCUAAACACUAAACCAGUCUUUACACAUAUGCUUUAACAUGUAUGUUGUAACUGACUGUAUGAGUGUAUAAACAUGUACACGUCAAAUUGCGCAUGCUGUACUCCAUGAUGAACAAGUUAUGUUGAAAUAAACAUUAACGAAAAUUUAAAAA
RNAcentral lists this long non-coding RNA (967 nucleotides) under Limulus polyphemus (Atlantic horseshoe crab). RNAcentral describes it as "uncharacterized LOC111085701, transcript variant X1". Lineage: Eukaryota; Metazoa; Arthropoda; Merostomata; Xiphosura; Limulidae. The record is from RNAcentral.